This 253-nucleotide ribosomal RNA is filed under the name uncultured bacterium. Its description in RNAcentral is "partial 16S ribosomal RNA". It matches the Rfam family "Bacterial small subunit ribosomal RNA", at positions 524 to 776 of the family's 1533-position model. The record is from RNAcentral.
UACGAAGGGUGCAAGCGUUAAUCGGAAUUACUGGGCGUAAAGCGUGCGUAGGCGGUUUGUUAAGUCUGCUGUGAAAUCCCCGGGCUCAACCUGGGAAUGGCAGUGGAUACUGGCAGCUAGAGUAUGGCAGAGGGGGGUAGAAUUCCACGUGUAGCAGUGAAAUGCGUAGAGAUGUGGAGGAAUACCGAUGGCGAAGGCAGCCCCCCUGGGCCAAUACUGACGCUCAUGCACGAAAGCGUGGGGAGCAAACAGG